RNAcentral lists this ribosomal RNA (1530 nucleotides) under Klebsiella variicola. Its description in RNAcentral is "bacterial SSU rRNA". It matches the Rfam family "Bacterial small subunit ribosomal RNA". The record is from RNAcentral. Lineage: Bacteria; Pseudomonadati; Pseudomonadota; Gammaproteobacteria; Enterobacterales; Enterobacteriaceae.
UUGAAGAGUUUGAUCAUGGCUCAGAUUGAACGCUGGCGGCAGGCCUAACACAUGCAAGUCGAGCGGUAGCACAGAGAGCUUGCUCUCGGGUGACGAGCGGCGGACGGGUGAGUAAUGUCUGGGAAACUGCCUGAUGGAGGGGGAUAACUACUGGAAACGGUAGCUAAUACCGCAUAACGUCGCAAGACCAAAGUGGGGGACCUUCGGGCCUCAUGCCAUCAGAUGUGCCCAGAUGGGAUUAGCUGGUAGGUGGGGUAACGGCUCACCUAGGCGACGAUCCCUAGCUGGUCUGAGAGGAUGACCAGCCACACUGGAACUGAGACACGGUCCAGACUCCUACGGGAGGCAGCAGUGGGGAAUAUUGCACAAUGGGCGCAAGCCUGAUGCAGCCAUGCCGCGUGUGUGAAGAAGGCCUUCGGGUUGUAAAGCACUUUCAGCGGGGAGGAAGGCGAUAAGGUUAAUAACCUUGUCGAUUGACGUUACCCGCAGAAGAAGCACCGGCUAACUCCGUGCCAGCAGCCGCGGUAAUACGGAGGGUGCAAGCGUUAAUCGGAAUUACUGGGCGUAAAGCGCACGCAGGCGGUCUGUCAAGUCGGAUGUGAAAUCCCCGGGCUCAACCGGGAACUGCAUUCGAAACUGGCAGGCUAGAGUCUUGUAGAGGGGUAGAAUUCCGGUGUAGCGGUGAAAUGCGUAGAGAUCUGGAGGAAUACCGGUGGCGAAGGCGGCCCCCUGGACAAAGACUGACGCUCAGGUGCGAAAGCGUGGGGAGCAAACAGGAUUAGAUACCCUGGUAGUCCACGCUGUAAACGAUGUCGAUUUGGAGGUUGUGCCCUUGAGGCGUGGCUUCCGGAGCUAACGCGUUAAAUCGACCGCCUGGGGAGUACGGCCGCAAGGUUAAAACUCAAAUGAAUUGACGGGGGCCCGCACAAGCGGUGGAGCAUGUGGUUUAAUUCGAUGCAACGCGAAGAACCUUACCUGGUCUUGACAUCCACAGAACUUUCCAGAGAUGGAUUGGUGCCUUCGGGAACUGUGAGACAGGUGCUGCAUGGCUGUCGUCAGCUCGUGUUGUGAAAUGUUGGGUUAAGUCCCGCAACGAGCGCAACCCUUAUCCUUUGUUGCCAGCGGUUAGGCCGGGAACUCAAAGGAGACUGCCAGUGAUAAACUGGAGGAAGGUGGGGAUGACGUCAAGUCAUCAUGGCCCUUACGACCAGGGCUACACACGUGCUACAAUGGCAUAUACAAAGAGAAGCGACCUCGCGAGCAAGCGGACCUCAUAAAGUAUGUCGUAGUCCGGAUUGGAGUCUGCAACUCGACUCCAUGAAGUCGGAAUCGCUAGUAAUCGUAGAUCAGAAUGCUACGGUGAAUACGUUCCCGGGCCUUGUACACACCGCCCGUCACACCAUGGGAGUGGGUUGCAAAAGAAGUAGGUAGCUUAACCUUCGGGAGGGCGCUUACCACUUUGUGAUUCAUGACUGGGGUGAAGUCGUAACAAGGUAACCGUAGGGGAACCUGCGGUUGGAUCACCUCCUU